This 567-nucleotide ribosomal RNA is filed under the name Aureobasidium leucospermi. RNAcentral's name for it is "partial large subunit ribosomal RNA". It matches the Rfam family "Eukaryotic large subunit ribosomal RNA", at positions 56 to 643 of the family's 3401-position model. The record is from RNAcentral. Lineage: Eukaryota; Fungi; Ascomycota; Dothideomycetes; Dothideales; Saccotheciaceae.
CGGGGCAACAGGGAUUGCCCUAAGUAACGGCGAGUGAAGCGGCAACAGCUCAAAUUUGAAAGCUAGCCUUCGGGUUCGCAUUGUAAUUUGUAGAGGAUGCUUUGGGUAAAACGCCAGUCUAAGUUCCUUGGAACAGGACGUCAUAGAGGGUGAGAAUCCCGUAUGUGACUGGAAAUGUUAACCUAUGUAAAGCUCCUUCGACGAGUCGAGUUGUUUGGGAAUGCAGCUCUAAAUGGGAGGUAAAUUUCUUCUAAAGCUAAAUAUUGGCGAGAGACCGAUAGCGCACAAGUAGAGUGAUCGAAAGAUGAAAAGCACUUUGGAAAGAGAGUUAAAAAGCACGUGAAAUUGUUGAAAGGGAAGCGCUUGCGCAAAUCAGACUUGUUUAAAGUGUUGGGCCGGUCUUCUGACCGGUUUACUCAGUUUGGAACGGGCCAGCAUCUUUUUCGGCGGCCGGAUAAAGGCAUUGGGAAUGUGGCCUUCACUUCGGUGGAGGUGUUAUAGCCCAGUGUGUAAUACGGCCAGCCCGGGACUGAGUUCCGCGCUUCGGCUAGGGAUGGCGUGGCGUAA